This 283-nucleotide unclassified non-coding RNA is filed under the name fungal sp. RNAcentral's name for it is "partial internal transcribed spacer region". The stretch from base 1 to 46 matches the Rfam family "Eukaryotic small subunit ribosomal RNA", at positions 1786 to 1831 of the family's 1831-position model. The record is from RNAcentral. Lineage: Eukaryota; Fungi.
AAGUCGUAACAAGGUUUCCGUAGGUGAACCUGCGGAAGGAUCAUUCACAAUGAGUGUUUAAUGGCACUUCAAAUCCAUUACCCACCUUGUGUGCAUUGUCGGGGAGGACUCUCUCAAUCUCUCUCUCUCUUCUCUCUCUCUCACUCAGAGGGAGGGAGGAGAAAGGGGGGGGAGGAGGGGGAGGUUCCUCUCUUCUUUCUAUACACACUGUUCUCAGUAUCAGUCUACUUCAAUUGAGUACAAAACUCGAAUACAACUUUCAACAACGGAUCUCUUGGCUCUC